AGCGAACGCUGGCGGCAGGCUUAACACAUGCAAGUCGAGCGGGCGUAGCAAUACGUCAGCGGCAGACGGGUGAGUAACGCGUGGGAACAUACCUUUUGGUUCGGAGCAACUGAGGGAAACUUCAGCUAAUACCGGAUAAGCCCUUACGGGGAAAGAUUUAUCGCCGAAAGAUUGGCCCGCGUCUGAUUAGCUUGUUGGUGAGGUAACGGCUCACCAAGGCGACGAUCAGUAGCNGGUCUGAGAGGAUGAUCAGCCACAUUGGGACUGAGACACGGCCCAAACUCCUACGGGAGGCAGCAGUGGGGAAUAUUGGACAAUGGGCGCAAGCCUGAUCCAGCCAUGCCGCGUGAGUGAUGAAGGCCCUAGGGUUGUAAAGCUCUUUUGUGGCGGGAAGAUAAUGACGGUACCGCAAGAAUAACGCCCCCGGCUAACUUCGU
This 437-nucleotide ribosomal RNA is filed under the name uncultured bacterium. RNAcentral's name for it is "bacterial SSU rRNA". It matches the Rfam family "Bacterial small subunit ribosomal RNA", at positions 29 to 506 of the family's 1533-position model. The record is from RNAcentral.